This 219-nucleotide ribosomal RNA is filed under the name Salmonella enterica subsp. enterica serovar Johannesburg. RNAcentral's name for it is "partial 23S ribosomal RNA". The stretch from base 69 to 219 matches the Rfam family "Bacterial large subunit ribosomal RNA", at positions 568 to 722 of the family's 2925-position model. The record is from RNAcentral. Lineage: Bacteria; Pseudomonadati; Pseudomonadota; Gammaproteobacteria; Enterobacterales; Enterobacteriaceae.
UCCACAUACGCAUCCUUUGCUGAGGAUACGGUUAACGGAGCGAAAGCGACGUUCAACCGCAAAAAAAGAAGCAGAGGGGGCUUAGUGGUGGGGUGACUGCGUACCUUUUGUAUAAUGGGUCAGCGACUUAUAUUCUGUAGCAAGGUUAACCGAAUAGGGGAGCCGGAGGGAAACCGAGUCUUAAUUGGGCGUUAAGUUGCAGGGUAUAGACCCGAAACC